CCCUCGAUAGCUCAAUAGUAGAGCACUCGGCUGAUAACCGGGCGACCGAAGUGCGAUUCUUCGUCGAGGGACCA
This 74-nucleotide transfer RNA is filed under the name marine sediment metagenome. RNAcentral's name for it is "tRNA-Ile". It matches the Rfam family "tRNA". From Rfam's summary of the family: Transfer RNA (tRNA) molecules are approximately 80 nucleotides in length. Their secondary structure includes four short double-helical elements and three loops (D, anti-codon, and T loops). The record is from RNAcentral.